AGUUCUUCAAUGCGUAGUGGAUUCCCGCGUCGCCGUCUUAUACCAGGGUCCAGGGAGUUGCUUCACUUCGGUUGGAGUUCAUCGUGUGUCGGCGAGAGCGUCGUCAUUGCUUUGGAGUCACCAGGGUCGUCGCUUCUGUGGGUCGUCUCGCCAGGGAAAGGAGGCAUCUUGUGGGCGCCGGGCCAAGAUGCUUUGCUUAGGGCCGACGCUCGUAAGUGUCCAUGGAAUUGGAUGCAGAAAAUUGGAUUAGAUAAGUAUAUCUAUAUGUUUAGUUUUGUUUUGUCUGAUUUUUGUUUUGUCUUUUCUUUUGCAGGUCCAAUUCGUCCAGGAUUUUUCAGAUUUGUCCGGUGGGAUAUGGGUAGGAAAGCAUUGCCUUGGAUUUAUAUAGAGCAUCGUCGGAGUUUAUUUUGCUCUUUUUCAGGGAUGUUGUCAGUAUAUCGUUGCUACCAGGAAAAGGUGGAAUUUAAGGGUCAAGAUUUUGACCUUUUGCCGGGUCAGCAGCGCCGCACUUGGAAUUCGUAAGGACGAGAAGGCUUCCCAACUUGGAAACGGCAUCAAAAUAUUUUAGGUUUUUAAUGUUUUAUGUGCCGAAAUCGUCGUUUUUCAUUUCGCCGAGUCGGGAAAAGGGAUUUUGUCUGUAAGCCGUUGCUGCCAGAAAAAAGUCGAUUUCAAGGGUCGCGAAAUUGACCUUUUGCCGGGUCAGCAGCGGCGCACCUAGGGUUAAGAAGGACGAGGAUGCACCCCAACAUGGAGACGGCAUCCAAACAUUAUAGGAUUUUAAUGUUUUGGGUGCCAAAAGCUUCGUUAUUCGUUGCGCCUAGUAGGGAAGUAGUUGGUUGCGUAGUUUUAUACUUUUAUUAAUAUGUUAUUCUUUUUCAGGGAUAUGGUCAGUGUUAUCGUUGCUACCAGAAAAAGUCGAAAUUCAAGGGUCACGAUUUUGACCUUUUGCCGGGUCGGCAGCGCCGCACCGAGGGUCAGUAAAAUCGAAGGGGCUUCCUGAAAUAGGGACGGCAUCAAAACAUUGUGGAUUUUUAUAUAUAUUAUUAUAUAGUGCUCUGUUUUAUGUUUUGAUUAAAGUAUUUCAAUCUUUAACGGA
This 1096-nucleotide small RNA is filed under the name Drosophila yakuba. RNAcentral's name for it is "GE28874". The record is from RNAcentral. Lineage: Eukaryota; Metazoa; Arthropoda; Insecta; Diptera; Drosophilidae.